RNAcentral lists this ribosomal RNA (429 nucleotides) under Gemmatimonadota bacterium. RNAcentral describes it as "Gemmatimonadetes bacterium partial 16S ribosomal RNA". It matches the Rfam family "Bacterial small subunit ribosomal RNA", at positions 355 to 776 of the family's 1533-position model. Lineage: Bacteria; Pseudomonadati; Gemmatimonadota. The record is from RNAcentral.
UAGGGAAUCUUCGGCAAUGGACGAAAGUCUGACCGAGCAACGCCGCGUGAGUGAAGAAGGUUUUCGGAUCGUAAAACUCUGUUGUUAGAGAAGAACAAGGACGUUAGUAACUGAACGUCCCCUGACGGUAUCUAACCAGAAAGCCACGGCUAACUACGUGCCAGCAGCCGCGGUAAUACGUAGGUGGCAAGCGUUGUCCGGAUUUAUUGGGCGUAAAGCGAGCGCAGGCGGUUUCUUAAGUCUGAUGUGAAAGCCCCCGGCUCAACCGGGGAGGGUCAUUGGAAACUGUGAGACUUGAGUGCAGAAGAGGAGAGUGGAGUUCCAUGUGUAGCGGUGAAAUGCGUAGAUAUAAGGAGGAACACCAGUGGCGAAGGCGGCUCUCUGGUCUGUAACUGACGCUGAGGCUCGAAAGCGUGGGGAGCAAACAGG